Molecule: ribosomal RNA, 458 nt
Filed under: uncultured bacterium
Lineage: Bacteria
Description: bacterial SSU rRNA
Rfam family: Bacterial small subunit ribosomal RNA
Source: RNAcentral
UGAGUUUGAUCCUGGCUCAGGACGAACGCUGGCGGCGUGCCUAAUACAUGCAAGUCGAGCGCAGGAAGCUGACUGAAGCCUUCGGGUGGACGUCAGUGGAAUGAGCGGCGGACGGGUGAGUAACACGUGGGCAACCUGCCUGUAAGACUGGGAUAACUCCGGGAAACCGGGGCUAAUACCGGAUAAUAGCCUUGACCGCAUGGUCAAGGGUUGAAAGAUGGCGCUUGCGCUAUCACUUACAGAUGGGCCCGCGGCGCAUUAGCUAGUUGGUGAGGUAACGGCUCACCAAGGCAACGAUGCGUAGCCGACCUGAGAGGGUGAUCGGCCACACUGGGACUGAGACACGGCCCAGACUCCUACGGGAGGCAGCAGUAGGGAAUCUUCCGCAAUGGACGAACGUCUGACGGAGCAACGCCGCGUGAGUGAGGAAGGCCUUCGGGUCGUAAAACUCUGUUGUU